Molecule: long non-coding RNA, 3346 nt
Filed under: Macaca fascicularis (crab-eating macaque)
Lineage: Eukaryota; Metazoa; Chordata; Mammalia; Primates; Cercopithecidae
Description: lncRNA (ENSMFAG00000048852.1)
Source: RNAcentral
GCCCCGUCUCACCUUUUUUACCUCAGGAGCCAGGAGCAGACAGCAAUACUUCGUCCACACCUGGGAUCGCGCAGGGCCCGCCGGGCACAGGCGCCCGUCAGCCGGGCUGAGCGGAGUCUGGGUUAGCCAGGCCUGCGUGGCCCAUGGUGGCCCUUCCAGUGCAUAUAUAUACAUAUAUAUAUGCGUAUAUACACACACACACACAUAGACAGACAUAUAUAUAUAUAUAUUUAUUUUUUUUACUGAGAGCUUAUGACUUCCAGAAAGUGCUAAAGGUGGGAGGUGGGCCAGGGCCUGGACGGGGCUUUUGUCUGACGCUCUGGAAUUCAGGCCAGACCCACCCCAGGGCACAUGUCCUGCCGGGGCGUCGCAGCUGUGUUUUUUGAUGUCUCCUCCCGGGUUGAGAGUAGCUUGGAGAGGACCCUCAGGCCUCUGAGGGCACCAGGCCCGGGAGAAGAGGUGCAAUUCAGGGUGUGUUUUCUUUUUCUUUUUUUUUCUUUUAAAGAAGAAACGCUGCUAAGAUCCCCCGUGGCUCCCACGCGUCGGGGUGUCUGUCCUGUCAUCCUGACCGUCUUGUUGUUGUGAAGUCUUUUGUAGACACCCCAGAGCACACACAUACCCUUAGUACACGGGUUAGAUGUCUCUUUAGAAAAAUCAGGGGUGAGUAGCUGUGUUUCCUUAGGACCGUGGUGGGGGGUGGAGGGCAGCUCCGAGGCUGGGCUGGGGCUCUGGCCCCAGGGGAGGUGCCAGCUCCUGAGUACUUCUGAGGGGGUGGGUUCCACCCCAGGAGGGCGGGGUUGGGUGGAGCAGGAGUGGAGGCCGCUUGGAGAUGCCAGGGUACCUGCCUGGUCUCGGCUGGCUCUGGCUGCCCUGCAGGUGCCCUUGGGCUCAGGCAGUUAGUUGUUCAGUCACUUAUGCCUUUUAUCCCCAAUAUGGGCCCUGAGCUGUGGCUGUCCCUGGACGCUGUGCUGUCCCCGUCCUGAGCAACUAUGCCCCCGCCCCAGUGGGUUCAAGGCAAAGCAGCUCUGACCGAAUUCUAGGCAGGGGUGGGGGCACCUGCCUGGGCCCUGGGUCCAGCCGCAUCCCCACGCCCAGCCUUUUGCGUCACCUGGAGGCCACAUUCUCCGACCCCACCUCCCCGCCCCUGUCUCUCCUCCCUGCCCCUGUCUGUCCUCCCCGCUGCCCCUAACUGCAGGUCAGCUUUCACUAUAGUAGUGCUUCCCAAACGGGUUAUAGAUGGGGGUGUUUGAUUUGAAGAGUUACGCAUUUAUUUCACUAUUUAUUAGAAAAAAAAUACAUUGAACCCAUGAUUUCACAGAGAUUUUGCUUAGGUCAAGGCUACUUUUUAAAAAGGGAGUGACUUUCAUGAAGUCAGUUUGAAGGAGGAGGUUGGGAGCACGUUGGUGGCGGUGGUCUGGAGAGGCUGCAGAGGCCACGAGUUUGGAGCUGCUGUGCUUCAGCAAUAACCUUGCCUUUGUUAAGACCCCCCCUUGCCUUUGCUAAGACCCCCUCUGAGGGCUUCAUGGGGGCCUGCUGAGGGGCAGCCUUGUCCUUGUUCCCAAACUCUGACUUGGAAGAACUGAGCUCGUGGCCAGGCUGGUGAGGGUGUGGGGUGCCCCUUGGAGGGGUUCUGGGUGUCUUCCAGGCUGGCACAGGGACCCUGGGGGAGGUGGUGGGCAAUGUGUGCUUUGUCACAUGCAGAGACCUUUUGGGCUGAGGGAGAGCGGUCCAGGAGGGGUUGUCAAGCCCACCUGGGAAACUGAGCCCCGGAGAGGGGAAGCGGCCAGCCCAGGAUCCUUCAGGGCCCUAGCAGCAAAGAAGCUGGGGUGGUGUGGAGGGCCCCACUCCAUACCCUAGGGCUGUGAUGCUGAGCAAGGUGCCUGCGGCGGGAGGAACUGCCCAGUCCUCCCUGCGGGGCAGGUAGACCUGUGAGGAUGGCUGGGUCCAAGCCCAAUGCUGACCCCUCCAAAGAGCCUCGGCCCUGCCUCCCUUUCCACGGAGGUGGUUUUAUGUGGAGCGAGCUACGUUGUCUGGGGAAGAAGUGUCUGGGCGGGCUUACCUGCUCCUGGCUGACCCUGAGCACGCGCAGUUGGAGGGAGGCAGACAGACUUGACUUUUUGCAAGUCCUUGUGUUGCUGGAGGGACAUGUGUGUUGGAGCCCAGAAGAGGGGCUGUGUGACCUGGGAAGACCAUGUGGAAGGUUGGGCUUCAAAUUGGCAGGAUCAGACGCCGGUCCAGCAGCCUUGGGUCAUCUUGUGACUCUGCUGAGCAUCCUUUCCUGCUGUUACAUGGGUUCAGAGCAGCUGCGCGGGGAACACAUCCUAGGCAGGUCUGAUGUGAAACCUCCCCUUGCCCUGAACCAUGUGGCUCUGGAACAAGCAGACACCUCGGGGCAGGUGUUCUAGGCAAAGGGAUGGGCAUGAGCGAAGGCUCCAGGGCCCACAGAGCGGGGCGUGUGGAGAAGUUAAAAGAGCUGAGCUCAGAGGCAGAGAAGCUCCUUGCAGGAAGCAGUGGGAGAUGGCCAGGCUCCUGGAGGCCCCACCUGCCGAUCCCAGACACUUGGCCUUGUUCUUGUGGGUGACAGAGAUGGGGAACCAGGGAAGCUGUGAUCUACUGGCCAGCACAAGUCAGAAUGGGUGAGGGUUGGGCAAAGGGCCCUUCCUUCCUCCUCAACCCUGUGGUCUGGGGCCAUGGCCUCAGGCCUGUGUCUAUCACAAAAGCACAAAUUUGCCCUAACCCACAUGGGCCUGGCAGUGGGGAAGGUGGGGACGCAGGUCCCUGAGCUGUCUCUGCUGCUCCAUAGGGUGGUGAUGGGCAGGCACCUUGGCAUCUGUGCAGAGACAACCCAGUCUAGCCAAACCCUCUUUGUCUCCUCUGCUCUACCUUCUCCUGUACCAGGCAGCCCCUUAAAGGAGGACAAAGCGUGUAAAGCCCGUCUGCCUGUCUUCCCCCAUAUCCUCGGCUCGGAGCCUUCCGCUUCCAGGGCCAACCCCAGCCCCCUUUGCUGCGUUGUGUAAGGGCUUGGGGUCAUAAGAGCUGCUCUUUAGCCCAGAUACACAUACUCUUUUUUGUCUUUGUGCAAUAAUCCGUGUUCCUGGCAGAGCCUGGGCCAAGCUGCAGCCUACUGAGGAGGUAGAGGCCACCUCCUCCAGGAAGCCCUCGGCCUGGGCCGCCACCGUGACUCUAGCACUCUCAGUCGCUGUACAGUUUCUAUGGUGUGAAUGAACUUCCCUCCUAGUUGCUGAUGGCGCUGGUACCUGCUGGCCCAGAUGGCCCGGGUGUAGAGAAACCAAGCGGCAGCCACCACCAGUGUUGUUUUGAAUAAAAGCCCAGAAGCCUAUUUAAG